GCGGAAAUAGCUCAGUUGGUAGAGCACAACCUCGCCAAGGUUGGGGUCGCGAGUUCGAGUCUCGUUUUCCGCU
Molecule: transfer RNA, 73 nt
Filed under: Candidatus Equimonas enterica
Lineage: Bacteria; Pseudomonadati; Bacteroidota; Bacteroidia; Bacteroidales; Bacteroidaceae
Description: tRNA-Gly
Rfam family: tRNA
About the family: Transfer RNA (tRNA) molecules are approximately 80 nucleotides in length. Their secondary structure includes four short double-helical elements and three loops (D, anti-codon, and T loops).
Source: RNAcentral